ACACCGGCGGCCCGAGUGGUGAUCGUGAUUAUUGGGUCUAAAGGGUCCGUAGCCGGUUUGGUCAGUCCUCCGGGAAAUCUGAUAGCUCAACUAUUAGGCUUUCGGGGGAUACUGCCAGACUUGGAACAGGGUGAGGUAAGAGGUACUACAGGGGUAGGAGGGAAAGCUUGGAAUCCCUGUGGGACCACCUGUGGCGAAGGCGGCUUACCAGAACGGGUUCGACGGUGAGGGACGAAAGCUGGGGGCACGAACCGGAUUAGAUACCCGGGUAGUCCCAGCCGUAAACGAUGCUCGCUAGGUGUCAGGCAUGGCGCGACCGUGUCUGGUGCCGCAGGGAAGCCGUGAAGCGAGCCACCUGGGAAGUACGGCCGCAAGGCUGAAACUUAAAGGAAUUGGCGGGG
Molecule: ribosomal RNA, 401 nt
Filed under: uncultured bacterium
Lineage: Bacteria
Description: partial 16S ribosomal RNA
Rfam family: Archaeal small subunit ribosomal RNA
Source: RNAcentral